This 488-nucleotide ribosomal RNA is filed under the name Bacillus subtilis. RNAcentral's name for it is "bacterial SSU rRNA". It matches the Rfam family "Bacterial small subunit ribosomal RNA", at positions 394 to 872 of the family's 1533-position model. Lineage: Bacteria; Bacillati; Bacillota; Bacilli; Caryophanales; Bacillaceae. The record is from RNAcentral.
ACGCCGCGUGAGCGAUGAAGGCCUUCGGGUCGUAAAGCUCUGUUGUUAGGGAAGAACAAGUGCUAGUUGAAUAAGCUGGCACCUUGACGGUACCUAACCAGAAAGCCACGGCUAACUACGUGCCAGCAGCCGCGGUAAUACGUAGGUGGCAAGCGUUAUCCGGAAUUAUUGGGCGUAAAGCGCGCGCAGGUGGUUUCUUAAGUCUGAUGUGAAAGCCCACGGCUCAACCGUGGAGGGUCAUUGGAAACUGGGAGACUUGAGUGCAGAAGAGGAAAGUGGAAUUCCAUGUGUAGCGGUGAAAUGCGUAGAGAUAUGGAGGAACACCAGUGGCGAAGGCGACUUUCUGGUCUGCAACUGACACUGAGGCGCGAAAGCGUGGGGAGCAAACAGGAUUAGAUACCCUGGUAGUCCACGCCGUAAACGAUGAGUGCUAAGUGUUAGAGGGUUUCCGCCCUUUAGUGCUGAAGUUAACGCAUUAAGCACUCCGC